GCCAGACUCCUACGGGAGGCAGCAGUGGGGGAUAUUGCACAAUGGGGGAAACCCUGAUGCAGCGACGCCGCGUGAGUGAAGAAGUAUUUCGGUAUGUAAAGCUCUAUCAGCAGGGAAGAAAAUGACGGUACCUGACUAAGAAGCCCCGGCUAACUACGUGCCAGCAGCCGCGGUAAUACGUAGGGGGCAAGCGUUAUCCGGAUUUACUGGGUGUAAAGGGAGCGUAGACGGCAUGGCAAGUCAGAUGUGAAAGCCUGGGGCUCAACCCCGGGACUGCAUUUGAAACUGUCAGGCUGGAGUGCAGGAGAGGUAAGUGGAAUUCCUAGUGUAGCGGUGAAAUGCGUAGAUAUUAGGAGGAACACCAGUGGCGAAGGCGGCUUACUGGACUGUAACUGACGUUGAGGCUCGAAAGCGUGGGGAGCAAACAGGAUUAGAUACCCCAGUAUCU
RNAcentral lists this ribosomal RNA (448 nucleotides) under uncultured bacterium. RNAcentral's name for it is "bacterial SSU rRNA". It matches the Rfam family "Bacterial small subunit ribosomal RNA", at positions 330 to 795 of the family's 1533-position model. The record is from RNAcentral.